UACGUAGGGCGCAAGCGUUGUCCGGAAUUAUUGGGCGUAAAGAGCUCGUAGGCGGUCUGUCGCGUCGGCUGUGAAAACCCGAGGCUCAACCUCGGGCCUGCAGCCGAUACGGGCAGGCUAGAGUUCGGUAGGGGAGACUGGAAUUCCUGGUGUAGCGGUGAAAUGCGCAGAUAUCAGGAGGAACACCGGUGGCGAAGGCGGGUCUCUGGGCCGAUACUGACGCUGAGGAGCGAAAGCGUGGGGAGCGAACAGG
This 253-nucleotide ribosomal RNA is filed under the name uncultured bacterium. Its description in RNAcentral is "partial 16S ribosomal RNA". It matches the Rfam family "Bacterial small subunit ribosomal RNA", at positions 524 to 776 of the family's 1533-position model. The record is from RNAcentral.